UUCUUCUCCGUAGGUGAACCUGCGGAAGGAUCAUUAU
RNAcentral lists this ribosomal RNA (37 nucleotides) under uncultured Russula. Its description in RNAcentral is "partial 18S ribosomal RNA". The record is from RNAcentral. Lineage: Eukaryota; Fungi; Basidiomycota; Agaricomycetes; Russulales; Russulaceae.